CGUGUAGGCGGCUUUGUAAGUCGAUCGUGAAAUCCCUCGGCUCAACCGAGGAACAGUGGUCGAUACUGCAGAGCUUGAGUGCAGAAGAGGAAAGCGGAAUUCCAGGUGUAAGAGUGAAAUCUGUAGAUAUCUGGAGGAACACCAGUGGCGAAGGCGGCUUUCUGGUCUGCAACUGACGCUGAAACGCGAAAGCAAGGGGAGCAAACAGGAUUAGAUACCCUGGUAGUCC
This 229-nucleotide ribosomal RNA is filed under the name uncultured bacterium. RNAcentral's name for it is "partial 16S ribosomal RNA". It matches the Rfam family "Bacterial small subunit ribosomal RNA", at positions 568 to 796 of the family's 1533-position model. The record is from RNAcentral.